UGCUCUUUGGAAGAUGGGGAUUUGUGAUUAUUUGACAACAGACCAAGGAAACAUUCGUGCAAUGCCAUGAAGAGUAGCGUGGGCCAUGCAUUAGGAUAAGCAAUUGAAAAAGACUGUUGUUUUUUACGUCCACUUUUUUAAUGCCUUCUGAACUCUCAAUGGUAGGAAAAAUAAUGAUCGUGACGUGGGUCAACUGAAAAUAAAAAUCAAGUCCUCAAACCUAUGUGCGUAGGCCGUGCUCCAAGCAAUGGCCGCAGGAAUGGUCGCGCCUCUUGGUUUCUGUCUGCGAGUUCAAAUGAAUUCCACGAUGUGAUACUGUCAGCUGGUUUUGUGCUUUCAUGUGCUUGCUGCGAAAGAAGCGCGCUUUUGAUGUUGUUCUACUUACGUCUCAUCAAAGGUUUCGCGGCAGCUGCAUUUCAUGGUUCUGUGCAAAACCACCUGGAAAACAUCCGUCGUCUGAAAGUGAUAUUCUUAAGAGCGCCUCGCAGACUCAGAUUUGCAGGUUGCUGAAUGCUGGCAAAUUGAAAACGACCCCGUUUGAAAGGAGAUGGAGGCCGUCAAUCCUUUAAGAAUAUCAAAAGCUACGGUACAAACAGCUCGCAAAAUGUAAUGGGUGUCUAGAGAUCCAGCUGUAAAGCUGCGGCGUAGUGCAAUCUGUUGAAUUUUAGUCGUAUAGAGCAAGAUUUUGCAUAUCUCUCCUAAAAUGAUUUUAUAGUGAGUGGCUAUUUUAAACAUUUACUGAAUACAUGAUUACCUGUGCUUAUUGAAAGAGACAAGACUUGCAUUUAGAGGAAUUGUAGUUAAAUUCUCCUGUUACCUUCAUGUCUUCCCCUAUCAAGCUGUCAAAGAGAGAAGCACGUGCUUUAUGUCUGCUUAUCCCAAAGUAAAUGCAUUUAAAGGUCAUAGAGAAGGGAUCAUUGCUGCAGUUCCGAAAUGGUUAGAAGAGUAUUUGAAAUACUAUUUUUAAAAGAGAGAAAUGAGGAAUAAAUUAUGCAUGCUCAUGAUGAAGUUACUCUUAAGGUCCUCAAGGAACUGUUUGUGUACUUGUGCUGGUUUAUAUAUUCUAUAUACGCAUAAAUUAUUAAUAAAAAAGGUAAACAGUACUAUCAACGACAAAUUUUGUUUCCACAAUGAUCUUAA
Long non-coding RNA from Hirundo rustica (Barn swallow), 1140 nucleotides. RefSeq lists it as uncharacterized. The transcript is spliced from 3 exons. The record is from RefSeq and is a predicted model, not a curated record. Lineage: Eukaryota; Metazoa; Chordata; Aves; Passeriformes; Hirundinidae.